GUCGGCGCAAGCCGACUAUGGUGAUAAACGGACGGUGUAAUAAACCCAUUGGACCCGGGGGCGGUACCCGGCGCCUCCACCACAGCACAGCUUGCCGAUCAGGCUGUGUUGUGGUGGGGGCGAAACAGGAUCGACAAGGGUGUAAAGAUCGCUCUUUUACUCGGCAUGAUACCACCGUUA
This 180-nucleotide transfer-messenger RNA is filed under the name Brucella suis. RNAcentral describes it as "transfer-messenger RNA Bruce_suis_23445". It matches the Rfam family "Alphaproteobacteria transfer-messenger RNA", at positions 40 to 212 of the family's 355-position model. From Rfam's summary of the family: Bacterial tmRNA, also known as 10Sa RNA or SsrA, is named for its dual tRNA and mRNA-like properties. Its role is to liberate the mRNA from a stalled ribosome. Lineage: Bacteria; Pseudomonadati; Pseudomonadota; Alphaproteobacteria; Hyphomicrobiales; Brucellaceae. The record is from RNAcentral.